UCCCAGCCGUAAACAAUGUGCGUUAGGUGUGUCGGUAACCACGCGUUACUGAUGCGCCGAAGAGAAAUCGUGAAACGCACCACCUGGGAAGUACGGUCGCAAGGCUGAAACUUAAAGGAAUUGGCGGGGGAGCACCACAACAGGUGGAGCCUGCGGUUUAAUUGGACAACGCCGGACAUCUCACCGGGUAAGACAGCUGUAUGAUUGUCAAUCUGAAGGUUUUACAUGACUAGCUGAGAGGAGGUGCAUGGCCGUCGUCAGUUCGUACUGUGAAGCAUCCUGUUAAGUCAGGCAACGAGCGAGACCCACGCCGACAAUUGCCAGCAGCAUCUCCGGAUGGCUGGG
Molecule: ribosomal RNA, 345 nt
Filed under: uncultured bacterium
Lineage: Bacteria
Description: bacterial SSU rRNA
Rfam family: Archaeal small subunit ribosomal RNA
Source: RNAcentral